Molecule: ribosomal RNA, 118 nt
Filed under: Pteropus alecto (black flying fox)
Lineage: Eukaryota; Metazoa; Chordata; Mammalia; Chiroptera; Pteropodidae
Source: RNAcentral
GUCUACGGCCAUGCCACCCUGAACGUGCCGAUCCCGUCUGAUCUCGGAAGCUGAGCAGGAUUGGGCCUGGUUAGUAUUUGGAUGGGAGACCACCUAGGAAGACCAGGUGCGGUGCUGU